This 756-nucleotide ribosomal RNA is filed under the name uncultured bacterium. RNAcentral's name for it is "bacterial SSU rRNA". It matches the Rfam family "Bacterial small subunit ribosomal RNA", at positions 28 to 776 of the family's 1533-position model. The record is from RNAcentral.
GAUGAACGCUAGCGACAGGCUUAACACAUGCAAGUCGAGGGGCAUCGGGGAGUAGCAAUACUCUGCCGGCGACCGGCGCACGGGUGAGUAACGCGUAUGCAACUUACCUAUCAGAGGAGAAUAGCUCAUCGAAAGAUGAAUUAAUGCUCCAUGAAACAGGGGUCCCGCAUGGGAAUAUUUGUUAAAGAUUUAUCGCUGAUAGAUAGGCAUGCGUUCCAUUAGGCAGUUGGCGGGGUAACGGCCCACCAAACCGACGAUGGAUAGGGGUUCUGAGAGGAAGGUCCCCCACAUUGGUACUGAGACACGGACCAAACUCCUACGGGAGGCAGCAGUGAGGAAUAUUGGUCAAUGGGCGAGAGCCUGAACCAGCCAAGUAGCGUGAAGGAUGAAGGUUCUAUGGAUUGUAAACUUCUUUUAUACGGGAAUAAAACCUCCCACGUGUGGGAGCUUGUAUGUACCGUAUGAAUAAGCAUCGGCUAACUCCGUGCCAGCAGCCGCGGUAAUACGGAGGAUGCGAGCGUUAUCCGGAUUUAUUGGGUUUAAAGGGAGCGCAGACGGGAGAUUAAGUCAGCUGUGAAAGUUUGCGGCACAACCGUAAAAUUGCAGUUGAUACUGGUUUCCUUGAGUGCGGUUGAGGUGUGCGGAAUUCGUGGUGUAGCGGUGAAAUGCUUAGAUAUCACGAAGAACCCCGAUUGCGAAGGCAGCACACUAAGCCGUAACUGACGUUCAUGCUCGAAAGUGUGGGUAUCAAACAGG